GUGCUUGCUUUGGCAGCACAUACACUAAAAUUGGGACGAUACAGAGAAGAUUGGCAAGGCCCCUGAACAAGGAUGACAUGCAAAUUCGUGAAGCGUUCCACAUUUUU
RNAcentral lists this small nuclear RNA (107 nucleotides) under Cervus hanglu yarkandensis (Yarkand deer). Lineage: Eukaryota; Metazoa; Chordata; Mammalia; Artiodactyla; Cervidae. The record is from RNAcentral.